RNAcentral lists this microRNA precursor (43 nucleotides) under Notamacropus eugenii (tammar wallaby). RNAcentral describes it as "miRNA (ENSMEUG00000017704.1)". The record is from RNAcentral. Lineage: Eukaryota; Metazoa; Chordata; Mammalia; Diprotodontia; Macropodidae.
GGCGGUGCAGGGCUGGGCUGGGCUCCGCAUCUGCAGCGCGACA